RNAcentral lists this ribosomal RNA (503 nucleotides) under uncultured bacterium. RNAcentral's name for it is "bacterial SSU rRNA". It matches the Rfam family "Bacterial small subunit ribosomal RNA", at positions 33 to 524 of the family's 1533-position model. The record is from RNAcentral.
UGACGCUGGCGGCAGGCCUAACACAUGCAAGUCGAGCGGUAGCACAGGGAGCUUGCUCCUGGGUGACGAGCGGCGGACGGGUGAGUAAUGUCUGGGAAACUGCCUGAUGGAGGGGGAUAACUACUGGAAACGGUAGCUAAUACCGCAUAACGUCUUCGGACCAAAGAGGGGGACCUUCGGGCCUCUUGGCCAUCAGAUGUGCCCAGAUGGGAUUAGCUAGUAGGUGAGGUAAUGGCUCACCUAGGCGACGAUCCCUAGCUGGUCUGAGAGGAUGACCAGCCACACUGGAACUGAGACACGGUCCAGACUCCUACGGGAGGCAGCAGUGGGGAAUAUUGCACAAUGGGCGCAAGCCUGAUGCAGCCAUGCCGCGUGUAUGAAGAAGGCCUUCGGGUUGUAAAGUACUUUCAGCGAGGAGGAAGGCGUUAAGGUUAAUAACCUUGGCGAUUGACGUUACUCGCAGAAGAAGCACCGGCUAACUCCGUGCCAGCAGCCGCGGUAAU